GUCCUGCAGUUACACCACUUUGCUCCUUAUAUGCUCAUCACAAGCCUGUGACAACAUGGGAGGUGAUGGUGAAGUAACUGUCUUCCCUGGUCCCUGUGGUCAUGCAGAAUUAUGAGGGCUCUGAGUUAUUCCUUGGAGCCCAGACCCUCUCAUUACAAUGAUGCAAGGAUGCCCACUGGGUCUCUUGGGAUUCUGAAAGCUGUGUUAGAAGAAAGUUCUCAAUGUCCAGAGAUGUCAGGCUUGGAAUGUCAACCCUUCAGCUUCAUUACUAUGUAUUUAUUGAGUCAGCAAAAAACUCUCACACCUUCAUGGGCAAAUGCAUGUGCCAGAUACCUAAUGCACAUGUGCUAAGUACUUGGGUCCUGAAUAAGGACUUUUCAUCCGGAAGAUUCUAGUAACCCUGUGUGCUCAGAAGCCAGAUGGAAGUGGGAGAAAGCUGCAGAACAAGAAGUGACUUGCUUACACCUUCAGGACCCUUGGAAAUUGAAAACAGAGAGAAACAGAGUGGGGAAGAGGAGAGGAAGAGAAAAAGAGACACCUGCAUCUAUGUUCCACCCCUCAUGAUACUUCGUUCCUAUAAUUGAGAACUGGAGACUUGAACCUGGAUCUUUGCACAUGAUAACACGUGUUAAUUUUAUUUUUAAAUAAGCAAUUAGUGUUCAGAACAUACACGGGGAUUCUUAUGUACUCAUUAUGAUAUCUGUAAAAUUUGCCAUUUUAACUGUACAUCAACUACUUUCACUUUGCAUUUCCAGAACUUUUCAUGAUCCCAAACAGAAACGCUGUGCCCAUUAUCUCUCUGUUCUUACCCCUCUCCAGCCCCUGGCAACUGCAUCCUAUUUUCUGUCUCUUUGAGUUUA
Long non-coding RNA from Erinaceus europaeus (western European hedgehog), 860 nucleotides. RefSeq lists it as uncharacterized. Lineage: Eukaryota; Metazoa; Chordata; Mammalia; Eulipotyphla; Erinaceidae. The transcript is spliced from 4 exons. The record is from RefSeq and is a predicted model, not a curated record.